This 253-nucleotide ribosomal RNA is filed under the name uncultured bacterium. RNAcentral's name for it is "partial 16S ribosomal RNA". It matches the Rfam family "Bacterial small subunit ribosomal RNA", at positions 524 to 776 of the family's 1533-position model. The record is from RNAcentral.
UACGGGGGGGGCAGGCGCUGUUCGGAAUUACUGGGCGUAAAGGGCUCGUAGGUGGCCAACUAAGUCAGACGUGAAAUCCCUCGGCUUAACCGGGGAACUGCGUCUGAUACUGGAUGGCUAGAGAUUGGGAGAGGGAUGCGGAAUUCCAGGUGUAGCGGUGAAAUGCGUAGAGAUCGGGAAGAACAUCAGUGGCGAAGGCGGCCUGCUGGGCUGUUGCUGACGCUGAGGCGCGACAGCGUGGGGAGCAAACAGG